Long non-coding RNA from Homo sapiens (human), 2694 nucleotides. The record is from Ensembl. NCBI's taxonomy places the organism in Eukaryota, Metazoa, Chordata, Mammalia, Primates, Hominidae.
AUAAAUGCCCAUGACACUGAUAGUCAAUGUUGAGUUCCUUAGGAAAAGUAGGACUUAAAAGCUACACAUCAGAAGACUGACUGUAAGAUAAAUCAGUGAGGGAUUCAUGGAUGUCUGAACUAGUUUGUGAAGAACUGUAGGAUAUUGACUGCAGGGACGGCAAAUGCAGACACAAGGAGGCAGAAUCAUAUGCAGCAUAUUCAGGAAGGGUGUAUAACUUUUGGGGUGGCUGUAAAGCAAUAUGAAACAAUAUAUCAUCAAUCAGAAGGCUGACAAAAUGUCCUGCACCACCACCACCACCCACACUUCCCUGAAGGGAGAAGAGCUUUGUCAAAAGAUUUCCCGGGUAUGAGCUUUGACAACCUUUCCUGCCAAUGCACCUGGUGAGAAGCUUCAGUCAAUUCUUAAAAAGAAACAAAGUCAUGUGGAUCUAAGACAUAGAAAGAGUGAGCCCUGACAAGAACGCUUAGACUUGGAAUUCUCGGGAAAAAAAUGCCCAGGAGUUCAUGACUUAGGCCAGGAUGAAAAAUCACUUUGGAGUCACAGAGAGUAGCCUGAUUUAGAAAGGUAGAGACAAUGGAACCAUGGAAUUACUUGGGAACCUUCCUGAAAAGGAUAUAGCACCUUGACUAAAUCACUGAGGAUUGCGUCCCUGAGAAAGGCAAUUAAUCAUGCACAUUUAUGACCUGCAAUCUCCAAGAAGGCUUCAGGAUGUACCCAGUGGGAGAAUUCAUGGACUAGUAGGCAAAAUGCCAGCUCAGACAGGAAUACUUGAUACUCUGGUAUUUCUGGCUCUAGUAAAUAUUGCCCAAAUCACCAUAAAAAAAAGACAUUUAAGUGCACUGAUUUCGGGGGAGGGUAGACUGCAAAAGAGAUCAUUUUAGGGCUCUGUCACUUUCUCCCUCGCCUGUCCUCCCCUCAAAUAUCUUUGUUCUUUUAAAUCCUAUCCCGUCCUUAUUCCUUUUCCCUUUACUAUUUUCUACAACCUAAAAGUUGGCUCAGCCUAGAAAUAGUACCGGGUAGAAAAAUCUUAAUAGGGUAUAUGGUCAUGGGUAAAGAGAUGGUUGCAAAAUAUAUUGUUGGAAUGAGUUGGGGAUAGGAGCUGAAAUCGGGGAGAAGUCCCAUUACUCUGGUAACAAAAAACAUAUAAAGAGUGAGAGAAGGAAAAUCAAAUCACCAUUUAUUACAAAUACAUCUUCAAACUUGGUUCAAUAGUUGUCUCUAAAGCCACUAUGUUACAAGAUUUUGUUAAUGAUUUUAGUUUUUUCUAAGUUAAACAAGUAAUGCUUGUUCCUUGUAAAAAAAAUCAAAUAAUACAGAAGUCUAAAAAAAAUGUAAAACCUCCAAAACCUGAUUCCCUGGAAGGAAAAAUUGAUUACAACUCGGUACUUUUUUGGACUUGCAAAUUUUUACAUACAUGUAUUUUUUCAACGUAUAAUACAAAAUAUAUAAAGGGCCCCUUCUUUUAAAAAGAAUUACUUUAUUCUUUUGUAUGAAUAAGAUAAAAAUAAACAUACUCUCAGCAUACACUUUACUCUUACUCAUGAACAUCGUAAUUGUUCAUAUUUGAGGUAUAUAAAUUUGACAUUUAAUAGGCAACUCUCUACAAAUUAUUAUUUAUGAGUCAAAAUUUAGUUUAUUCAAAAAACGGUGACUAAAAAGCAUGAUAUCUGUUCUUAUGCAGCUUAAAUUCUAUUUGGAAAAUAAAGCCACGCCAAAGAAAUAUUAAAACAAAAAUAUCAGGAAUAAAUGCUAAUAAAAUAAUGAAAAUAUCAUAACGUGAAAGAGUGACUGUGUAUCUACUUUACAUUUUUAUGGUAUCUCUUUUAAGUCUUAUCCACCAAGAAAAAAACUAAAGUAUGAGUUUUAUACUGUAGUUUUGUACAAUUAAAUUCUCAAGAUUCAAAAAUACCUUCCAAAUGCUAGCAAUUAGGCGUAUAAACUCUCGUAGGCUUUGUGCAAUGGUAUCCUGUAAGGCCAGCUCUUUCUAAGUCAAUCACUAUGGGUCUGAUUGACCUUGGCAGUAUUACAGGGUCAUAUUUUUACAUGGCUGAGCUGUUCUUGAACAAUUUCUACAAUGUACUAGGUACAAAUAGUCUUUUCUUCAGCACAAGGCAUGCGUGUCUUAUCUUCUCACCCAUUCUUCUCCUCACUGCCACUCCACCCCACCUUUUCUUUCAUUACUUUUAUGAAAGAAAAACUAUUGUAGGACAUGUAAAGAAAACUCGUCCCCACGGGCUUUUUUUCUUUCAGCCUGCCCUUUCUUCAUGCUAUGUUAUAGUUGAAAUACUGCACUUGUGGACUCCUGGUUUAUUCUUAAGAUGGAUUUUAUUUGUGAGUUUAUCUGGUUGUUUUGUGGCUCCAAUAUCGCAAAGAAUAACCUCUUUUCAUUUUCAUCAGAGGAAGGACAAGAGCUGGAAAGGGAUGUGGUUCUAUCAGCAAUUCGCCUAGGAAAAAUUUCAAUGUUUUUCUAAACUGUUCUACAAAGGAAUUGCAAUGUCAUCACAAAAAAAGACUGAGAUUACAGUUCUUAACUAUCAAAUAUCUCCAAUAAAAUAUAAUUUUUAAAUAAAGAAAUAAGACCCAUUUCCAUGAAGGCAAUCUUUUAUUUCCUUUAUGCUUCAACCCAGCAUAGUGUGGGGCGGAGGGGAGAGGAGAAAAUAUUAAACUAGAAACCAAGGUUGUCAGGCAGGA